CUCUCUCUAGCUAUAGAUAGGCUUUUCUCUCUCACGCAUACAAUCUCAGAUCUGUGUAUGUACAGUAAAAAGAUAGACGUAUAUUUGAUGUUCAGUUUGCAUUUAUCGCGGCGGUCUCUCAUUCGCUUGGUGCAGGUCGGGACCUGCCUCGCCGGCGACAAUGACGUCUGCUGACGGUGACGGUGGCGUAUCGAUAGAUAUACAUGUUGUUUAUGACGAAGUUUUGGUCCCGCCUUGCAUCAACUGAAUCGGAGACUGCGGUGAAUUUAAUUUGUUUCAAGUAAAUCAGCUUUGUUAUGGAUCCAUCUAAUAUCUACCGCUUGUUUCCUGUGAGCUGAACUGAAUGUGAACCUGAGCUAUUGAAUUUAGGCUGUGCUGUGUGGUAACAGUUGUCUUGGACUGGCUUAAGACCUGAAGCAAGAAAUGGACUGUGAUUGAAGGCAACACUUCAAAGACUAGCAGAGGAUGGUCUACUACCUUAGUUACCACGUGAAACUGAUAACACAAGGUGAUGGGUGGGAAAAUAUGACCCCUCUCCUUAUACGUUGUUCCAUUUUGUUCACAUUUGUAGAGUACCCCUUCUUUUAUCCACCAUUAUUGGAUGCUUAAUUUUGUGAAUGAUGAAGUCAUUCCUGUAGAUCUAGCACAUCUGCUGCUGGGAAAAUGGAAGAUGGAAAGUAAUUGUUUUUUUUGUCCAAAUGCCAGAACGCAUAGGGUUUAACUUUAUUGUUGCUUCUAAUUUGUGAACUACCGAUCCAGUGUAGCUAUAUUAUCUAAUUUAAUAGGCUUAAGGGUGCUUUACUGAUUU
This is a long non-coding RNA of Nicotiana attenuata, 808 nucleotides long. RefSeq lists it as uncharacterized. The transcript has 2 exons. NCBI's taxonomy places the organism in Eukaryota, Viridiplantae, Streptophyta, Magnoliopsida, Solanales, Solanaceae. The record is from RefSeq and is a predicted model, not a curated record.